This 771-nucleotide long non-coding RNA is filed under the name Homo sapiens (human). Its description in RNAcentral is "HSALNT0383499". The record is from RNAcentral. Lineage: Eukaryota; Metazoa; Chordata; Mammalia; Primates; Hominidae.
CCCGACUAUUGACUUUCAUAUUGUUUACAUUAGCCACUUGAGAAAGCCAGAACCCUUGAGUCGGCUUGUUUGGGCGUUAAUGGAUUCUGGAGUAGCCAUUACUACAUAUAAGUCUCUUUACAAAAUAUUGAAGUUUCUCUGAGGUUCACCUGCUUUCUGAACACUGGCGGUACACUCUCCUCCCUCCCCACACGAUCCUGCAGCACCGAGUUUGAUGAAUACUUAGGAAGGCAAACAAUCAUGAUCAGUAAUGGAACAGUCACUUAGGGUACACCUACUUCUUUGUGAGUUGAAUAAUCUAUUUCCACCCACCCCAGCCCCACACUGUCAACCACCAUCAACAAUCCGGGGAAUCAAGUUAAUCUUCAAUUAGGUGAAAGAAUUUCAGGAACGAGUGCAGCUCAAGUUACCAAGUAACUUACUGUUGUGAAACGAUUCAUACUGCAAGCCGCCUAAAUGCAGGGCUUUUGAUGAUAUUCCCCGCCAACAAGGGUGUUUUGAAGAGAGUGAAGGAAACAGACAGGACUUUGAAAGGAAAAACAGACAUCUAAUUGGCUGUCUCUUGCCGACCCUCCAGUGACCCUGCACUGAAUACCUCUAAUGGACGUGUGUGAUCUUGGAGCCUCUACCGCAAUAAACGAGUUUUAGACUUUCAACUUGUUUUUGCAGCAGAAUUCUUUAUUCUCCUUAAAAUUGAUUUUUUAAAAAACGAGUGAGCAAGGCAUUAGCAUAGGUAUUUUACACAAAAGGGUGAAAUGGUUUUCUAAUUUU